This 67-nucleotide transfer RNA is filed under the name Anthrenus sp. BMNH 840208. RNAcentral's name for it is "tRNA-Cys". It matches the Rfam family "tRNA". From Rfam's summary of the family: Transfer RNA (tRNA) molecules are approximately 80 nucleotides in length. Their secondary structure includes four short double-helical elements and three loops (D, anti-codon, and T loops). Lineage: Eukaryota; Metazoa; Arthropoda; Insecta; Coleoptera; Dermestidae. The record is from RNAcentral.
GGUCUUGUAUUCUAUAGUGAUAUCAAAUUGCAAAUUUGAAGGAGGAGGUUUAAGCCUCUUAAGGCUU